RNAcentral lists this ribosomal RNA (1019 nucleotides) under Populocrescentia rosae. RNAcentral describes it as "SSU rRNA". It matches the Rfam family "Eukaryotic small subunit ribosomal RNA", at positions 89 to 1119 of the family's 1831-position model. The record is from RNAcentral. Lineage: Eukaryota; Fungi; Ascomycota; Dothideomycetes; Pleosporales; Phaeosphaeriaceae.
GCGAAUGGCUCAUUAAAUCAGUUAUCGUUUAUUUGAUAGUACCUUACUACUUGGAUAACCGUGGUAAUUCUAGAGCUAAUACAUGCUGAAAACCCCAACUUCGGGAGGGGUGUAUUUAUUAGAUAAAAAACCAACGCCCUUCGGGGCUUCUUGGUGAUUCAUGAUAACUUUACGGAUCGCAUGGCCUUGCGCCGGCGACGGUUCAUUCAAAUUUCUGCCCUAUCAACUUUCGAUGGUAAGGUAUUGGCUUACCAUGGUUUCAACGGGUAACGGGGAAUUAGGGUUCGAUUCCGGAGAGGGAGCCUGAGAAACGGCUACCACAUCCAAGGAAGGCAGCAGGCGCGCAAAUUACCCAAUCCCGACACGGGGAGGUAGUGACAAUAAAUACUGAUACAGGGCUCUUUUGGGUCUUGUAAUUGGAAUGAGUACAAUUUAAACCUCUUAACGAGGAACAAUUGGAGGGCAAGUCUGGUGCCAGCAGCCGCGGUAAUUCCAGCUCCAAUAGCGUAUAUUAAAGUUGUUGCAGUUAAAAAGCUCGUAGUUGAACCUUGGGUCUGGCUGGCAGGUCCGCCUCACCGCGUGUACUUGUCCGGCCGGGCCUUCCUUCUGGAGAACCUCAUGCCCUUCACUGGGCGUGUUGGGGACCAGGACUUUUACUUUGAAAAAAUUAGAGUGUUCAAAGCAGGCCUUUGCUCGAAUACGUUAGCAUGGAAUAAUAGAAUAGGACGUGCGGUCCUAUUUUGUUGGUUUCUAGGACCGCCGUAAUGAUUAAUAGGGACAGUCGGGGGCAUCAGUAUUCAAUUGUCAGAGGUGAAAUUCUUGGAUUUAUUGAAGACUAACUACUGCGAAAGCAUUUGCCAAGGAUGUUUUCAUUAAUCAGUGAACGAAAGUUAGGGGAUCGAAGACGAUCAGAUACCGUCGUAGUCUUAACCGUAAACUAUGCCGACUAGGGAUCGGGCGAUGUUCUUUUUCUGACUCGCUCGGCACCUUACGAGAAAUCAAAGUUUUUGGGUCUGGGG